CGAACGCUGGCGGCGUGCUUAACACAUGCAAGUCGAACGAUGAAGAAAAGAAUCGAAGCUUCGGCAGAAAUUCAUUUCGGAUUAGUGGCAGACGGGUGAGUAACGCGUGAGCAACCUACCUCUUACAAAGGGAUAGCCUCGGGAAACCGGGAUUAAUACCAUAUAACAUUGUGACGAAGCAUUUCGAUGCAAUCAAAGCUACGGCGGUAAGAGAUGGGCUCGCGUCCCAUUAACCGGAUGGUGAGGUAACGGCUCACCAUAGUGACGAUGGGUAACCGGCCUGAGAGGGUGAACGGUCACACUGGAACUGAGACACGGUCCAGACUCCUACGGGAGGCAGCAGUGGGGAAUAUUGCACAAUGGAGGGAACUCUGAUGCAGCGACGCCGCGUGAGUGAUGAAGGAAUUCGUUUCGUAAAACUCUGUUCUAUGGGAAGAAAAGGACUGUACCAUAGGAGAAAGCUCCGGCUAAAUACGUG
This 478-nucleotide ribosomal RNA is filed under the name uncultured bacterium. Its description in RNAcentral is "partial 16S ribosomal RNA". It matches the Rfam family "Bacterial small subunit ribosomal RNA", at positions 30 to 507 of the family's 1533-position model. The record is from RNAcentral.